This 212-nucleotide unclassified non-coding RNA is filed under the name Hevea brasiliensis (rubber tree). The record is from RNAcentral. Lineage: Eukaryota; Viridiplantae; Streptophyta; Magnoliopsida; Malpighiales; Euphorbiaceae.
GAAAUUUUUUACAGCUGCUUCAAUUGAUCAAGAACUAAGAUAUUUCAUUGACUGAUCCUUGCACGAUGAAUAUAUCAAUCAACUGGGUGUUUGUCAGAUUGUCGUGNNNNNNNNGCAGAAAGCAAAAGCAGAGAAAGGAAAGCACUUGCUACGAAGAUGGCAUCAAACCACCGGUGAUAGAAAUCAAACUGAAUAUCUCCUCCCAAUACAUC